UGGGGAAUAUUGCACAAUGGGCGGAAGCCUGAUGCAGCGACGCUGCGUGAGGGAUGACGGCCUUCGGGUUGUAAACCUCUUUCAGCAGGGACGAAGCGCAAGUGACGGUACCUGCAGAAUAAGCCCCGGCUAACUCCGUGCCAGCAGCCGCGGUAAUACGGGGGGGGCAAGCGUUGUUCGGAAUUACUGGGCGUAAAGGGCUCGUAGGCGGCCAACUAAGUCAGACGUGAAAUCCCCAGGCUCAACCUGGGAACUGCGUCUGAUACUGGAUGGCUUGAAUCCGGGAGAGGGAUGCAGAAUUCCAGGUGUAGCGGUGAAAUGCGUAGAUAUCUGGAGGAAUACCGGUGGCGAAGGCGGCAUCCUGGACCGGCAUUGACGCUGAGGAGCGAAAGCUAGGGGAGCAAA
RNAcentral lists this ribosomal RNA (405 nucleotides) under uncultured bacterium. RNAcentral's name for it is "bacterial SSU rRNA". It matches the Rfam family "Bacterial small subunit ribosomal RNA", at positions 355 to 772 of the family's 1533-position model. The record is from RNAcentral.